UACGAAGGGGGCUAGCGGUGUUCGGAAUCACUGGGCGUAAAGCGCACGCAGGCGGAUCGAUAAGUCGGGGGUGAAAGCCCGGGGCUCAACCUCGGAAUUGCCUUCGAUACUGUCGGUCUCGAGUCCGGGAGAGGUGAGUUGAAUUCCUAGUGUAGAGGUGAAAUUCGCAGAUAUUAGGAAGAACACCAGUGGCGAAGGCGGCUCACUGGCCCGGUACUGACGCUCAGGUGCGAAAGCUUGGGGAGCAAACAGG
Molecule: ribosomal RNA, 253 nt
Filed under: uncultured bacterium
Lineage: Bacteria
Description: partial 16S ribosomal RNA
Rfam family: Bacterial small subunit ribosomal RNA
Source: RNAcentral